UGCUUUGGCCUAAUGGUUAGCGUAUUGGACUCCGGAUCGAGCGGCCCGGGUUCGAGUCCUGGCCGGGGGAA
RNAcentral lists this transfer RNA (71 nucleotides) under Desmophyllum pertusum. Its description in RNAcentral is "tRNA-Arg". The record is from RNAcentral. Lineage: Eukaryota; Metazoa; Cnidaria; Anthozoa; Scleractinia; Caryophylliidae.